GACGAACGCUGGCGGCGUGCUUAACACAUGCAAGUCGAACGGAAAGGCCCUGCUUUUGUGGGGUGCUCGAGUGGCGAACGGGUGAGUAACACGUGAGUAACCUGCCCUUGACUUUGGGAUAACUUCAGGAAACUGGGGCUAAUACCGGAUAGGAGCUCCUGCUGCAUGGUGGGGGUUGGAAAGUUUCGGCGGUUGGGGAUGGACUCGCGGCUUAUCAGCUUGUUGGUGGGGUAGUGGCUUACCAAGGCUUUGACGGGUAGCCGGCCUGAGAGGGUGACCGGCCACAUUGGGACUGAGAUACGGCCCAGACUCCUACGGGAGGCAGCAGUGGGGAAUAUUGAACAAUGGGCGGAAGCCUGAUGCAGCAACGCCGCGUGCGGGAUGACGGCCAUCGGGUUGUAAACCGCUUUCACCUGUGACGAAGCGUGAGUGACGGUAAUGGGUAAAGAAGCACCGGCUAACUACGUG
Molecule: ribosomal RNA, 468 nt
Filed under: uncultured bacterium
Lineage: Bacteria
Description: partial 16S ribosomal RNA
Rfam family: Bacterial small subunit ribosomal RNA
Source: RNAcentral